GACGAACGCUGGCGGCGUGCUUAACACAUGCAAGUCGAACGGUGAAGGGACUGGUUUUGCUGGUCCUGGAUGAGUGGCGAACGGGUGAGUAACACGUGAGUAACCUGCCCCCUUCUUCUGGAUAACCGCAUGAAAGUGUGGCUAAUACGGGAUAUUCUGGGUCUGUCGCAUGGUGGGCCUGGGAAAGAUUGCGCCUUUUUUGGUGUUUUUGGUGGGGGAUGGGCUCGCGGCCUAUCAGCGUGUUGGUGGGGUGAUGGCCUACCAAGGCGGUGACGGGUAGCCGGCCUGAGAGGGUGGACGGUCACACUGGGAGUGAGACACGGCCCAGACUCCUACGGGAGGCAGCAGUGGGGAAUAUUGCACAAUGGGCGCAAGCCUGAUGCAGCGACGCCGCGUGAGGGAUGGAGGCCUUCGGGUUGUGAACCUCUUUCGCCAGUGAAGCAGGCCUGCCUCUUUUUGUGGGUGGGUUGACGGUAGCUGGAGAAGAAGCGCCGGCUAACUACGUG
Molecule: ribosomal RNA, 506 nt
Filed under: uncultured bacterium
Lineage: Bacteria
Description: partial 16S ribosomal RNA
Rfam family: Bacterial small subunit ribosomal RNA
Source: RNAcentral